Molecule: ribosomal RNA, 497 nt
Filed under: uncultured bacterium
Lineage: Bacteria
Description: partial 16S ribosomal RNA
Rfam family: Bacterial small subunit ribosomal RNA
Source: RNAcentral
GAUGAACGCUGGCGGCGUGCCUAAUACAUGCAAGUCGAGCGAACAGACGAGGAGCUUGCUCCUCUGACGUUAGCGGCGGACGGGUGAGUAACACGUGGAUAACCUACCUAUAAGACUGGGAUAACUUCGGGAAACCGGAGCUAAUACCGGAUAAUAUAUUGAACCGCAUGGUUCAAUAGUGAAAGACGGUUUUGCUGUCACUUAUAGAUGGAUCCGCGCCGCAUUAGCUAGUUGGUAAGGUAACGGCUUACCAAGGCAACGAUGCGUAGCCGACCUGAGAGGGUGGACGGCCACAGUGGAGGGAGGCCACGGUCGAGACUCCGAGGGGGGGCAGAAGUGGGAAUGAUCCAGCAAGGGGGAAAAGCGUGACGGGGGAGCACGGCGGAGGUAAGGAAGGCGUUCGGAUGAUAAAACUUUUUUAUUUGGAAAAAACAAAUGGGAAAGAAAAUGUCCCCGUCUUGACGGUACUUAAAGAAAAAGCCCCGGCUAACUACGUG